GCCUUGUAAUGGUUCUUUACAUAACAAGCGCCAGGGAAUUACGAGCAUAAGCUUAAAAUCCAAAGGAUUUGACGGUGUCCCACCCACCUAGAGGAGCCUGUUCUAUAAUCGAUAAUCCUCGAUAUACCCAACCAUUUCUUGCUUUUCAGCCUGUAUACCUCCGUCGCAAGCUUACCAUUUGAAUGUAAAAGAGUAAGUUUAAGGAUUCCCCAUCAAUACGUCAGGUCAAGGUGCAGCCAAUGUAAUGGAAAGUAAUGGGCUACAAUUUCUAUAAUAGAACAAACGAAACACUGCAUGAAAAACAGUCAUGAAGGCGGAUUUAGUAGUAAAAGGAGAAUAGAGAGCUCCUUUUAACAAGGCCCUGGGACGUGUACAAACCGCCCGUCACCCUCUUCAGCGGCGUAAAAUUUAAGUUUUUAACCCAACAAAAGAAAUCAGAAGAGGCAAGUCGUAACAUGGUAAGUGUACUGGAAAGUGCACUUGGUUAAC
Molecule: ribosomal RNA, 489 nt
Filed under: Mantella pulchra
Lineage: Eukaryota; Metazoa; Chordata; Amphibia; Anura; Mantellidae
Description: partial 12S ribosomal RNA
Rfam family: Bacterial small subunit ribosomal RNA
Source: RNAcentral